RNAcentral lists this ribosomal RNA (448 nucleotides) under uncultured bacterium. Its description in RNAcentral is "bacterial SSU rRNA". It matches the Rfam family "Bacterial small subunit ribosomal RNA", at positions 328 to 793 of the family's 1533-position model. The record is from RNAcentral.
CUUCCAGACUCCUACGGGAGGCAGCAGUGGGGGAUAUUGGACAAUGGGGGAAACCCUGAUCCAGCGACGCCGCGUGAGUGAAGAAGUAUUUCGGUAUGUAAAGCUCUAUCAGCAGGGAAGAAAAUGACGGUACCUGACCAAGAAGCCCCGGCUAACUACGUGCCAGCAGCCGCGGUAAUACGUAGGGGGCAAGCGUUAUCCGGAAUUACUGGGUGUAAAGGGAGCGUAGACGGCUGUGCAAGUCUGGAGUGAAAGGCGGGGGCCCAACCCCCGGACUGCUCUGGAAACUGUAUGGCUGGAGUGCAGGAGAGGUAAGCGGAAUUCCUAGUGUAGCGGUGAAAUGCGUAGAUAUUAGGAGGGACACCAGUGGCGAAGGCGGCUUACUGGACUGUAACUGACGUUGAGGCUCGAAAGCGUGGGGAGCAAACAGGAUUAGAUACCCCAGUAA